This 606-nucleotide ribosomal RNA is filed under the name uncultured bacterium. Its description in RNAcentral is "bacterial SSU rRNA". It matches the Rfam family "Bacterial small subunit ribosomal RNA", at positions 77 to 677 of the family's 1533-position model. The record is from RNAcentral.
AGCUUGCUAUCUUUGGUGGCGACCGGCGCACGGGUGAGUAACGCGUAUCCAACCUGCCCAUUACUCAGGGAUAGCCUUGCGAAAGUAAGAUUAAUACCUGAUGUUGUUUGAUUGCCGCAUGACGAUCAAACCAAAGAUUUAUUGGUAAUGGAUGGGGAUGCGUGACAUUAGGUAGUUGGUGAGGUAACGGCUCACCAAGCCCACGAUGUCUAGGGGUUCUGAGAGGAAGGUCCCCCACACUGGAACUGAGACACGGUCCAGACUCCUACGGGAGGCAGCAGUGAGGAAUAUUGGUCAAUGGACGAGAGUCUGAACCAGCCAAGUAGCGUGCAGGAUGACGGCCCUCUGGGUUGUAAACUGCUUUUAGUUGGGAAUAAAAAGAGGGACGUGUCCCUAAUUGUAUGUACCAUCAGAAAAAGGACCGGCUAAUUCCGUGCCAGCAGCCGCGGUAAUACGGAAGGUCCAGGCGUUAUCCGGAUUUAUUGGGUUUAAAGGGAGCGUAGGCGGGAUGAUAAGUCAGCUGUGAAAGUUUGCGGCUCAACCGUAAAAUUGCAGUUGAAACUGUCGUUCUUGAGUGUGCACAGGGAUGUUGGAAUUCGUGGUGUA